CUAACUGGAGGACCGAACCGACUAAUGUUGAAAAAUUAGCGGAUGACCUGUGGCUGGGGGUGAAAGGCCAAUCAAACCGGGAGAUAGCUGGUUCUCCCCGAAAGCUAUUUAGGUAGCGCCUCGUGAACUCAUCUCCGGGGGUAGAGCACUGUUUCGGCUAGGGGGCCAUCCCGGCUUACCAACCCGAUGCAAACUGCGAAUACCGGAGAAUGUUAUCACGGGAGACACACGGCGGGUGCUAACGUCCGUCGUGAAGAGGGAAACAACCCAGACCGCCAGCUAAGGUCCCAAAGUCAUGGUUAAGUGGGAAACGAUGUGGGAAGGCCCAGACAGCCAGGAUGUUGGCUUAGAAGCAGCCAUCAUUUAAAGAAAGCGUAAUAGCUCACUGGUCGAGUCGGCCUGCGCGGAAGAUGUAACGGGGCUAAACCAUGCACCGAAGCUGCGGCAGCGACACUCAGGUGUUGUUGGGUAGGGGAGCGUUCUGUAAGCCUGCGAAGGUGGCCUGUGAGGGUUGCUGGAGGUAUCAGAAGUGCGAAUGCUGACAUAAGUAACGAUAAAGCGGGUGAAAAGCCCGCUCGCCGGAAGACCAAGGGUUCCUGUCCAACGUUAAUCGGGGCAGGGUGAGUCGACCCCUAAGGCGAGGCCGAAAGGCGUAGUCGAUGGGAAACGGGUUAAUAUUCCCGUACUUGGUGUUACUGCGAAGGGGGGACGGAGAAGGCUAUGUUGGCCGGGCGACGGUUGUCCCGGUUUAAGCGUGUAGGUGUGUGUUCCAGGUAAAUCCGGUUCACUUUAACACUGAGGCGUGAUGACGAGGCACUACGGUGCUGAAGCAACAAAUGCCCUGCUUCCAGGAAAAGCCUCUAAGCAUCAGGUAACAUCAAAUCGUACCCCAAACCGACACAGGUGGUCAGGUAGAGAAUACCAAGGCGCUUGAGAGAACUCGGGUGAAGGAACUAGGCAAAAUGGUGCCGUAACUUCGGGAGAAGGCACGCUGACACGUAGGUGAAGUGAUUUACUCAUGGAGCUGAAGUCAGUCGAAGAUACCAGCUGGCUGCAACUGUUUAUUAAAAACACAGCACUGUGCAAACACGAAAGUGGACGUAUACGGUGUGACGCCUGCCCGGUGCCGGAAGGUUAAUUGAUGGGGUCAGCGCAAGCGAAGCUCCUGAUCGAAGCCCCGGUAAACGGCGGCCGUAACUAUAACGGUCCUAAGGUAGCGAAAUUCCUUGUCGGGUAAGUUCCGACCUGCACGAAUGGCGUAAUGAUGGCCAGGCUGUCUCCACCCGAGACUCAGUGAAAUUGAACUCGCUGUGAAGAUGCAGUGUACCCGCGGCAAGACGGAAAGACCCCGUGAACCUUUACUAUAGCUUGACACUGAACAUUGAGCCUUGAUGUGUAGGAUAGGUGGGAGGCUUUGAAGUGUGGACGCCAGUCUGCAUGGAGCCGGCCUUGAAAUACCACCCUUUAAUGUUUGAUGUUCUAACGUGGACCCGUGAUCCGGGUUGCGGACAGUGUCUGGUGGGUAGUUUGACUGGGGCGGUCUCCUCCUAAAGAGUAACGGAGGAGCACGAAGGUUGGCUAAUCCUGGUCGGACAUCAGGAGGUUAGUGCAAUGGCAUAAGCCAGCUUGACUGCGAGCGUGACGGCGCGAGCAGGUGCGAAAGCAGGUCAUAGUGAUCCGGUGGUUCUGAAUGGAAGGGCCAUCGCUCAACGGAUAAAAGGUACUCCGGGGAUAACAGGCUGAUACCGCCCAAGAGUUCAUAUCGACGGCGGUGUUUGGCACCUCGAUGUCGGCUCAUCACAUCCUGGGGCUGAAGUAGGUCCCAAGGGUAUGGCUGUUCGCCAUUUAAAGUGGUACGCGAGCUGGGUUUAGAACGUCGUGAGACAGUUCGGUCCCUAUCUGCCGUGGGCGCUGGAGAACUGAGGGGGGCUGCUCCUAGUACGAGAGGACCGGAGUGGACGCAUCACUGGUGUUCGGGUUGUCAUGCCAAUGGCACUGCCCGGUAGCUAAAUGCGGAAGAGAUAAGUGCUGAAAGCAUCUAAGCACGAAACUUGCCCCGAGAUGAGUUCUCCCUGAGACUUUAGGUCUCCUGAAGGAACGUUGAAGACGACGACGUUGAUAGGCCGGGUGUGUAAGCGCAGCGAUGCGUUGAGCUAACCGGUACUAAUGAACCGUGAGGCUUAACCUUACA
RNAcentral lists this ribosomal RNA (2191 nucleotides) under Salmonella enterica. RNAcentral's name for it is "partial 23S ribosomal RNA". It matches the Rfam family "Bacterial large subunit ribosomal RNA", at positions 762 to 2925 of the family's 2925-position model. The record is from RNAcentral. Lineage: Bacteria; Pseudomonadati; Pseudomonadota; Gammaproteobacteria; Enterobacterales; Enterobacteriaceae.